Non-coding RNA from Microcebus murinus (gray mouse lemur), 5776 nucleotides. Lineage: Eukaryota; Metazoa; Chordata; Mammalia; Primates; Cheirogaleidae. The record is from RefSeq and is a predicted model, not a curated record.
GGAUAUAUAAUAUAUGAUAUUUUGGAUAGUUUAAAAAAGGUAGCUUUUACUCGUGGUGUUCAGUGCUGGGCUUACCUUCCAUGCUUUGCUAAUCCCUUCUCCCCCAGCUCUCUUAGGAACUCUGUUUCCCCAGACUCAGCUUCCUCUCAAGAUUCUUGGUCAAAAAUGUCUCAGGUCUCCUGGUCCUUUAAGGUAUGGUUCCCUCAUUGGGGUCAUUCCUUUUUAAGGGACCUUCUUAAGUUACUUGUGGGUCCUCUGUUAACACCAGCCACAUUUAUUGGUAGGUGCAUAUAUUGAAUGUUACCUUAUGGAUUGUUUUCUAGACUCUUAGGUCUUUAUGAUCCUUUUGGAAAUGGAUAGAUAUUUGCCACUAUGAUUUAAAAAAGAAAGGACUAGUAAAAUGCUUCCAAAAUACUGUUCUAGGAGCCAACAGGUCUCCCUAGCACUUGGUUUGUGCUAUUACCUCUUUAACUGUAUCAUUCUUUCAACCCACAGAGCUGCAACUCAUAUUUUAAUUCUGCUAACCUAGGUGAAUACCUUUUUCUGUACUUUUUAGCAUUUUACUAUUAUGCUAAUAAUGAUAAGAUUUGCAGAAGAGAUUAUUUUUUUGAAGAAGUCCUAAGAUCCUGUGUUCUCCUACAGCUGAUAAUAAAAAUAUUGGUUAAAUGAUUAUCAACUGAAAGAAUUUUAGGGACUCAGAUACAUAACUUUAGAAAACAGGAGCAUUAGGAUGACCUGAAAACAUGUCUACAUAUGCAACUAUCUAAGCCUACAAUUCUUAAUGUUUUUAGCAUUUGUAGAGUACAUUUGCUAGGGACUGUGCUAACUUCUAGGGACAUAACAGUGAAUUAGAUAUGGCCUUUGCCCCAAAGGAGGCUCAAAGAUUUACAGAAGCUCCAAACAUUUGGGAAAUAGCCACUGUUUAAACACAGGACCUAGAUAUAUUUAAACAUAGGCAGUUAGUAUCUUAUGGAUUAGAAACCUAAAGAGAUAAUUCAAUAUGGUCUUGUUUAUUUCUGCUUACCUACAUGAUAGGUAUUAUUUUUGACAGUGAUAGCUGUUCUAUAGUUGGAAAUUAUGAAGCUGAUAAAAAUGCCCUAAUUGCUAUUUCCUGCAUUUCAUCUCAAAGCUUCUUAAACUUGAACUCUUCAAGUGAGAUUUCUUGUGGAAAUAGCCUGAGAAGAACCUGUGCACUGUGAAUUUCCUUGGGCUCCUGUCUAUUGCCUGGCUAGUACCCCAUGUUGAGCUAGAAGGUGCUAGCUGAGGAAGCCCAGUAUCUCAGGCAUCCUACUGUUAAAUCACCGAGCACAGGGAAUUAGCCCAGGGGAACAAAAGGGAGGCCCCAUUAACCAUAGCGGCCUUCUGGCUGCCUGUGGACCAGCCAUGAAAACUUUUACCCAGUGAAUUUUUUAAGCUGACAUUUCUGUCACCCAGAUUGCUGUUCCAAAUCCAUAUCUGCUUUGUUUAAUAUAAGAACUAGGUACUGAGUAAGAAGCUAGUUCUGGUAAACAAUCCCUAGGGCUAUAGUCCUUUCCAUCCGGACAAAUAGAAGACAAAGCCUGCAGAACAUCCCACUAAUGCUCAAGAUCAGCUUCCUCAGUUGAAAGUGCACUUAAAAUGAGGAAUGUAAUGGCAAUUGACAGGGGGCUUUAAAAAGCCCUGUUUUUGUGAAAAAGCAAGAGGGAGGGCUGCUCAUUAAUGAAUGCAAAUGAUGGCUUGCUUUCAUUUUACAAAAUAUUGAGAGGCGGUGUUGGGUAUUAUUAUCAAAUAUCUAUUCACACACACACAAAUCCACUCUAUAUAUCUGUGAACAAGUCAGAGACAUAUAUUUUAUAUAGUAAGAUAUUCACUGCUUCUGAGUUUCUAGAGACUGAUGAAAAAUAAGAGUCUUCUCUAAGCCAAAGAGUUUUCAUAAUUGAUGAUUUUGGACUUCAGAGACAAGAAUUGACCUUCUGAUCUUUUGGAUGGUCAGAGUGGACAAGGAAAUCAGGCUCUGCUUUUAUCCGUCAUUUGAUACUUCCUUUAUUUAUGGCCUAUCCCAGAAGGCUGGGAACCUUCCCACAUGUGCAAUGUACUCCUUGCAGGUUAAAAUCAAGACCUUGGCUUCAUUUUGAAAACAGCACGCAUUAGCCAACUUGUUUUAAUGCUUCAUAUUUUCCAUUUACAGUGAUUAUAACCUGUUUGGAGCUUUGUUUUUAGACCAAGACAAUUUUUAAUGAAUGUUAUGAAAGCUUCAAGUCUGAUGAUUUAAUUAUCAGAACCCAUGUUCCUGCUAGAAAACUCAACAAAACAUUUUGCUUGUGGGAAUAGCUCAACAAAAAAUCAGGCAAGAUAGUUCAACAGAAAUGGCAUAGUUAGGGCUCUUUUACAAGUCGACUGGGCUCGAUAGAAGGCAACAUUCCUCAAUCAACAGAAACUUUGGCAGGGAUGAUUUCUUCCCAUAGCUGUCUCGCUUACUGCACUAAAGGGAAUAUAAAAUCCUGAGCAAGCAAAUUAAUUUGACAAAACACUUAGAAGCUGAAUUUAAAGUGUCAGUGGAGACCAUUGGAAAAGUAUGUCGAGUGCCUUUAGUGAAAAUUCUACUUACUGCCCACUUGUAGCCAACAGAUGAGUUGUUAUAACUGUCAAAGGAGUCAGACUAUGAAGAAGAGAACAUUUAUCAGAGUAUAACAUGAUGAAUACAGGGUGAACAUGAUUCCUAUGUCUUGAUUCUAGAUUGGAACUAUCCAUUGGGAUGUAAAGGACAUUAUCCAGAUCCAUUGUCUUAGGAAUUGUUCCAAAGAUUUGUCCAAAGAUAGCAGAAAACAUCCCAUAAACCCACAAGUUAUUUUCUGAACACUUUACUUAUAAAUAUAAUGAUCACAUGAAUUAUCAUUCAAAAUUUUGUCUGGGAAGAAUGUGAGGUUGGAUGGAAUGCUGAGACUGCCCUGGGCAUCAUGAGAAAUAUGGCCACUAUGUGUAUGGAGAACGUGCAGAGUAGACCAGGUGUCUGGUGAUAGAGGAGUGAUUGAUGGCUCCUCCACCACCUCUCAGUGUGAACAUAUUUGUUUAUUGUAAUGUCUCUGUUCCCCAUUCCUUUUCCACAUGCCCCUGUCUAGCCAGCAGCAAGCUACUAUGGGCAAACUUUCUUGAACAAAAGAAAUAACUAAACUCAGGUGUUUGCGUUCAUUCGUUAAUUUUGGGGUCAUUUGUUUAACUGCUUUUGAAGCAACUUUUACCCCUAGGAAUGUGUAGGGCAGUGGCUUUCAACCUACACACCCUGGAAUAUAAUCAGUUGUGAGGUGUAUCACAAGUAAAAGGCAAGGUACCAAAUGUGUAAUAUAUUAUUUUCGUAUAAAUUCAGGUGAAUUGGGGGUUAUCGCUGUAAUGAUAUAGGUCUCACUUACUUGUAUUGCAAAAUGCUCCCUGGAAUAACAGAAUGGGGUUAGAGCUUGGAAUUAGCCUAUUUUGUUUUAAAAAUCUGGCUGAGUUAAAUGGAGUCUCUACUGUGCCAUUGUGCCUCUUACCUGUGUUCGGCCAGGGGAAAAAGUUGAGAAUCUGUGUUUCACUUAUCUAUUGCUGCAUAACAAACCACUCCAAAACUUGAUGGCUUAAAAAAAUAACAUUUAUUUUGCUCAUGAAUUUGCAACUUGAAGAGGGUUAAAUUGGGAUAGCAUUCUUUUUACUCCACUUGGAAUCAGCUGGGCCAGCUCUAAGGCUCAGGGCUGGUAUCAUCUGAAUGCUUGCUCACUAAUAUGUCUAGGGAAGGAAUGUGAGCUGUUGUGGCUGGGGAAGCACUGUGGCACACUGUAUUUUCCAAAAGUGGUCACAGUUAAGUUUCUGCUUCCACAUGCUCUUCCAUAACCUUGUCACUCACCCAUCAAAAACAGGGGUGAAUAUUCCUUCUGCUUGUUCCCAAGAAGGAUGGGGAAUGCUAUGACCAAUAACAUAUGGCAGAAAUGUUGCCAGCCUUGACUUCAGAGGGUGGGCUGCAAAAGUUUUCAUGGCUUCCACUUGGAAUCUCUCUCAGGAUGCUCACCCACUCUUGGAAACCCAGGCCACAUGAAGAGGGCAUGGGUAAGGGUUUGGCCAACAAGCUAAAUUCUAGACUAACAGUGAGGAUCCACAAUCACACAUGUGAGUAAAUGAGUCUUUACUCACUCCAGCCCACAGGUCUGAGCGUUCCCCGCUGAUACCAUGUGGAGCCGAGAUGAACUAUCCACGGAGUCUCAUCCAAAUUGCAGACAUGUAACAUUGUACUGUGCUACCUAUUGCCCAAUGUUUGAAAACUGCUCCAGUUUUCCAGUUAUUUAAGGUGGAAAGGCCACCAAACAUGGCAAAAGAGAAUUGGAGAGUGACUGGGAGACCAGAAAAAGAUGUGAAGACCAAACAGCCUGUACUCUUACCAUUUAUCACGCUGCAUGCUCCUAUAAGGUUGUCCCAGCUAACUGAUCAGUAAUUUCUUGGAUGGAAGGAAGAUAGACCAAGGCAACUGCAUUUGGGGUAACAAUGGCUGUCGGUGUCAAGAACUGACGGCGUGGCAAAGAGGCCAACAGAAAGCUGGAAAGCUGGGAAGGGAGAGUGUCGUAGGAAGACGGAGAGGGAAAGGCCCAGCAAGACCAAAGUAACCACAGACUCCUUGCACAUGUGAGGGAGGAGGAAAAGCUGACUUGGCACCCGCCCGCUGGUGCUGUGGGUCGUCCUGACCCAGGACUGUACAUCGUGCCCUGACAGACUUGGGUGUGUCCUGCUGGAGCCCACGUGCUUAACUCUCACAUCACCAGUGAGUAAUGAGCUGAGGUCAGAGGCUGUUCUCAUAGGGGCCUUCAGGGGAUAUAAAUGGCAACCCAAUUCUUUGUGCUAACAGACGACCAGAAUGUGUAGAAAAGGGACAUCCCCACGCCACACUCUAGCCAGUACUUUCACUGCCAGCCCACUUAACAAUGAAUGCAAAUUUCUCCAAGUUGUUUUCAUUGCUUGGAAUUUUAUCCCCUUCCUGCUCUUGGAUGGGAAAGAGUGGGUGAAAAUUAGCAAGUCAAGAUGACACACUCGUUGCCCGGAUGCUGGAGAGUCCUGCGUGCCCCGUAAUCAGAUUUGUGAAGUGAAGACUUUUAUGUCUACUUGGAGGAUUGUUACUUUAGUGCUGACUUAUUUCUUCCCUUUCUUUCCACUGUGAGUGACUGAGACUCAUAGACUUUGACUUUCAACCCUGAAUUCUAAACUUGUCUCAAAAGUAAAAAUAAGUUGGUAAUCUUUCAUUUUAUUCCCCCCUCAACUAGCCUUUCUCGGAUCGAUGCAACAGCUGGACUCCAUCUGGGAAGGACUGAGUUCUGGGGACAUGCUACUUUCCCACAUUUACUGCCCCCGGUGUGAACUGAGCCAGCCUACCCCCUUUCUCUGGGGUCUGUUUUUAAAGCCUUGUACCUUUAUGGUGCCAAUAGCACUUUGGGGAAAUUUAAUGGCUGCCGGUAAAGGCUGCUAAUCUCUGACGGCUCAGGUGAGGCAGUAUGAGCAGGUGGGCAGGAGCAGUUUCUUCCAAAGCAAUUUCUUCCAUCAGGUACCUGCCAGCAGUCUCUACCAAGUAUCAUGUUUCAGCUAAUUGAGUGGUGAAGGAGUUAAGCAAUACCUGUCUUGAAAGAGAAACUGACAUGUAAACCGAAAGCUACACUAAAAAUGAAGAAAAAGUCAGACUUUGAUUUUAAGCACACUCUGCCCAAUCCCCCCUCCCUAUCUAGCUGAAAAAGAGCUAGCAAGUUCAUACAGGUGGUCUCAUAGCACACUAAGGCAACACAUGAAA